This is a long non-coding RNA of Drosophila persimilis, 452 nucleotides long. RefSeq lists it as uncharacterized. The record is from RefSeq and is a predicted model, not a curated record. NCBI's taxonomy places the organism in Eukaryota, Metazoa, Arthropoda, Insecta, Diptera, Drosophilidae. The transcript has 2 exons.
UGGCUGACUGGCUAGCUGGCUAGCAAUUGCAGCAGCGGCAUAAAAGAGCCAAUUCCAUAGGAAGUUGAUACCCGAUAAAAGCCUCGGCUCUCAGCCUCAGCCUCAACUUCGGGCUCGGACAAAAGGCAGGUCUAUGGCCAUAUCAUUAGUAAUAAAAGUAUGGAUUUUCCCCAGCUCAAAGACUCUCCAAGUCGAAUUUUUCCUCCUAACAGACGCUCCACUGUACUUUUCAUACAAAAAUGAGCGCAAAAUGCAAAAGGCGUAAUGAGGAAGUGUUUGCCAUGUGGACGACAGUUUUGUGUGCAAAAUUUUAAUCAAAUCACGCCAGGAGCGUUUCAGAGCGCCCAAGGGUCUGAAAAAAGACGAAAGAGAGAGAAAUUUAACAACUUCCUUUCGCGCUGCUGGAGAACUUUAUCGCGUUUCAAUAAAUACUAUUUAAUGAUCGAAACAGA